This 253-nucleotide ribosomal RNA is filed under the name uncultured bacterium. RNAcentral describes it as "partial 16S ribosomal RNA". It matches the Rfam family "Bacterial small subunit ribosomal RNA", at positions 524 to 776 of the family's 1533-position model. The record is from RNAcentral.
UACAGAGGUCUCAAGCGUUGUUCGGAUUCAUUGGGCGUAAAGGGUGCGUAGGUGGCGCGGUAAGUCGGGUGUGAAAUUUCGGAGCUUAACUCCGAAACUGCAUUCGAUACUGCCGUGCUUGAGGACUGGAGAGGAGACUGGAAUUUACGGUGUAGCAGUGAAAUGCGUAGAUAUCAGGAGGAACACCGGUGGCGAAGGCGGGUCUCUGGGCAGUAACUGACGCUGAGGAGCGAAAGCGUGGGGAGCGAACAGG